Molecule: RNA transcript, 2374 nt
Organism: Gordionus sp. m RMFG-2023
Lineage: Eukaryota; Metazoa; Nematomorpha; Gordioida; Chordodea; Parachordodidae
Exons: 16
Source: RefSeq, a predicted model, not a curated record
ACCGAUAACACCACCACGUAGCGAUAACGUAGCGAGGAUAUGGUUACAGAGCAUGCUCUUAUAUGAUAUGAUAAUGUAAUAAAAUGUGGCUUGAUAAUUUAGGCAAGCUAUUAUACCAUGAAUAUAAAUUUGCUUGACUUCAAAAAAAUAAGAAAAUAUAUAUUUAUGGAAAUUUUUCAAAAACUUUAUCCAUUCAAGAAAUUGGUGGAAAAACAUAUAUCAAUUAAAAAACUGAUUAUUCUUAUUUUUAGUAUUUUAAUCUUUCUUCUCUAUGUUUGGCCUUUAUUUCAACAUAAGCAAAAAUACAAAUCAAAUAUCUGUCUUAAUUGUUUGAAUGAUCAUUUAUUUUUGUAUCAUAAUACUCCCUAUAUGAAUACAAUAAUUCAAUUUAUGCACCUGGAUGAUUAUAAUUUUACACCUUUUUUAGGUAAUGGCUAUAUUGGAAUAUUUUUGAAUGAUCCAAAUUCCAAAAUUCAUAUAAGACAAAAUAAUUUUCUAUCAAUUGCCAUUGACUUUGAGCCAAUUAUUAAUAUAAAAUUAAAUGGUAUAUUCUUUCAAGAGGCAUAUGUAACCUCAUUUUUAGAUGGAAUUGUCCGAAAUUUAAAAUGUAUAAAAUACAAUUCAGAAUGUGUCUUUUUUGAAAAAACUUUUAUAGUUCAUAGAAAUAUUCCUUCAUUAUUGAUACAAAAAUUUACCAUCAAUAACCCUUCAGAUUUAUCACUGGAGUUCGAUGUAGAAUCCAAAAAAGUUGAGAGUAUAUUUCAACAAACAAAAAUUGAUUUUCAAGAUCAAAACCUGAUUCCAAAAACUCAAUCGAUAUUUGAUCCAGAUUUGUUCGAAAUAUUUUAUGGAAAAACGAUAAGCACCAAAAUUAGCCAUGAAUUUGGUUACAAACGAAAUUCUCCAUUUUUUCGAUUUUUUGCUCCUUCAGACCUUUUUCUUCACGCCAAUAUCUUAAUUCUUAAACCCAAAACGAUUAAAGUUGCUGCUAGAAGUAAAACCGAAGCUUAUAUUUACAUUUUUAUGCGAUAUUCGUUAAAACUAAACGCUUCCAAUAAAGAUGAUAAUAAUUCAAUAAAUUUACAGUUAGAUGAAUUAAUCAAGAAUGACGUUAAAAUUGCAUUUAGUGAAAAUUCUGAAAAGAUUAUCAAUGAACAUAUAUUGUCAUGGAAUAACAUAUGGAAAAGUGGGUUUGCUAUAAGCCAAUCAAAAUCAGCAUUAGCUCUAAAUGGUGAUAAAAUUAACUCGACCUUUUAUCAUUAUUUAUGUCAUCAACCCUCAAACUCUGACAAAAAUCAAGAACUUGCGCUUUCAUUAACAUCAACUGGCACACAAUCUUUUUUCAAAGAUAAUUGUUACAGCUCCCAUACAACUUUAUUAUCAUCAACCUUAUGGUCCGAAAUGAAAUCAAGGAAUAAUAUCCUAAAAACGUUAUACUUAUGGGAUUUGACUCUUGAUAAAAACGGGUGUUAUAAAUUAAUUCAAUCGGGGAUAAGCGGGGCACUUCAAGCUUUAAUUUAUAGUGUCGGAAGCUUUAAAAUUACUGCUAAUCACUUGGAAUUUUCGAUGGACCCCAAAGAAUUGCAUAGGGAUAUGGUCUUUAGAUAUAUUAAUUACACUCCACCCUCUUUAAAAUCCCAAAUCAUCGUCGGGCUCAUCCAAUAAAUCCCGCAAUUCCUCAUCUGAAAACACCAAAUCCAGCCAUUCCUCCAAUUCCUCACCUAUGGAUAGUGGGGGCGUCGAUUCCCCGGUUCCCUCAAUAUUGUUAGCGUUUGAAUCCAGGAUCUCUUCACGUCCCACGGGCGUAUCAUUAUUCCAAUUGUUCUCCCCUAGGCUAGCUCCCUCCCCUUCCGUAGUCGCUGAAAGAUCGACUAGAGGCCAUCGGCCGGCUUCCCUUGGUAUUGAAGUGGAUGAUGGAGAUGUGGAUCUUCCAUCGUAAUAAACGGAUCUCACUUCCGCCACUGGUCGGACUGCCGAGACAAACCUUAUGGGCGAUCUUUCCCUGGAUCGAUUAUUUGUCAUAGGGUUCUCCCAUCGGAGAGGACAUCGGCUCCGUACAUGUCCCCGCGCGCGGCAUUGGAAACAGACCCUAUUGUCAUAACCACUGGGUGACAUCGGUUGAAAGGGGACCCUGGGUAUUGGGAGCUCGUUCCUCGCUCUUCUUGGAAUAAUACUAAGUCUCACCUCGAUCCCACCAAAAAACCAAGAUUUAUGCAUGGCCAUUCAGCAGACUGAUUACUUUGUCAAAAUCAAACUCCUAUACAAUUUCCGGUGAAGUUAACCAAUCCAUUGACAUCACUUCUAUAUAUUUCCGAAGAUAAAUAUCACCUGGAAUAUCUUAAACACACCAUUCACGUCAAAGAAGUUAUCCUAG